GAGAAAUUAGUUUAAAUUAAAACAUUAACUUGUCAAGUUAAAAAUAUUUAUUAAAUACUUCUCC
Molecule: transfer RNA, 64 nt
Filed under: Megacopta cribriella
Lineage: Eukaryota; Metazoa; Arthropoda; Insecta; Hemiptera; Plataspidae
Description: tRNA-Asp
Rfam family: tRNA
About the family: Transfer RNA (tRNA) molecules are approximately 80 nucleotides in length. Their secondary structure includes four short double-helical elements and three loops (D, anti-codon, and T loops).
Source: RNAcentral